Non-coding RNA from Loxodonta africana (African savanna elephant), 74 nucleotides. The record is from the annotation of a RefSeq genome assembly. Lineage: Eukaryota; Metazoa; Chordata; Mammalia; Proboscidea; Elephantidae.
GCGUGGGUGGUUCAGUGGUAGAAUUCUCGCCUGCCGUGCAGGAGAAAACCUGGGUUCAAUUCCCAGCCUGGGCA